Molecule: ribosomal RNA, 253 nt
Filed under: uncultured bacterium
Lineage: Bacteria
Description: partial 16S ribosomal RNA
Rfam family: Bacterial small subunit ribosomal RNA
Source: RNAcentral
UACGUAGGUGGCAAGCGUUGUCCGGAAUUACUGGGCGUAAAGAGCGCGCAGGCGGCUGGUCAAGUCCGAUGUGAAAGCUCCCGGCUUAACUGGGAAAUUGCAUCGGAAACUGAUCGGCUUGAAGGUGGGAGAGGGUAGUGGAAUUCCCGGUGUAGUGGUGAAAUGCGUAGAUAUCGGGAGGAACACCAGUGGCGAAGGCGACUACCUGGCCCACUCUUGACGCUGAGGCGCGAAAGCUAGGGGAGCGGACAGG